UACGUAGGGUUCAAGCGUUAUCCGGAAUCACUGGGCGUAAAGCGUGCGUAGGCGGAUGUUUAAGUGAAAUGCGAAAUCGUGUGGCUCAACCACACGACUGUAUCUCAUACUGGAUAUCUUGAGGACGGCAGAGGCAAGUGGAAUUACGGGUGUAGCAGUGAAAUGCGUAGAGAUCCGUAGGAACACCAAUGGCGAAGGCAGCUUGCUGGGCCGACCCUGACGCUAAGGCACGAAAGCGUGGGGAGCGAACAGG
Molecule: ribosomal RNA, 253 nt
Filed under: uncultured bacterium
Lineage: Bacteria
Description: partial 16S ribosomal RNA
Rfam family: Bacterial small subunit ribosomal RNA
Source: RNAcentral